This 887-nucleotide ribosomal RNA is filed under the name Bacillus siamensis. RNAcentral describes it as "bacterial SSU rRNA". It matches the Rfam family "Bacterial small subunit ribosomal RNA", at positions 59 to 927 of the family's 1533-position model. The record is from RNAcentral. Lineage: Bacteria; Bacillati; Bacillota; Bacilli; Caryophanales; Bacillaceae.
AAGUCGAGCGGACAGAUGGGAGCUUGCUCCCUGAUGUUAGCGGCGGACGGGUGAGUAACACGUGGGUAACCUGCCUGUAAGACUGGGAUAACUCCGGGAAACCGGGGCUAAUACCGGAUGGUUGUUUGAACCGCAUGGUUCAGACAUAAAAGGUGGCUUCGGCUACCACUUACAGAUGGACCCGCGGCGCAUUAGCUAGUUGGUGAGGUAACGGCUCACCAAGGCGACGAUGCGUAGCCGACCUGAGAGGGUGAUCGGCCACACUGGGACUGAGACACGGCCCAGACUCCUACGGGAGGCAGCAGUAGGGAAUCUUCCGCAAUGGACGAAAGUCUGACGGAGCAACGCCGCGUGAGUGAUGAAGGUUUUCGGAUCGUAAAGCUCUGUUGUUAGGGAAGAACAAGUGCCGUUCAAAUAGGGCGGCACCUUGACGGUACCUAACCAGAAAGCCACGGCUAACUACGUGCCAGCAGCCGCGGUAAUACGUAGGUGGCAAGCGUUGUCCGGAAUUAUUGGGCGUAAAGGGCUCGCAGGCGGUUUCUUAAGUCUGAUGUGAAAGCCCCCGGCUCAACCGGGGAGGGUCAUUGGAAACUGGGGAACUUGAGUGCAGAAGAGGAGAGUGGAAUUCCACGUGUAGCGGUGAAAUGCGUAGAGAUGUGGAGGAACACCAGUGGCGAAGGCGACUCUCUGGUCUGUAACUGACGCUGAGGAGCGAAAGCGUGGGGAGCGAACAGGAUUAGAUACCCUGGUAGUCCACGCCGUAAACGAUGAGUGCUAAGUGUUAGGGGGUUUCCGCCCCUUAGUGCUGCAGCUAACGCAUUAAGCACUCCGCCUGGGGAGUACGGUCGCAAGACUGAAACUCACAGGAAUUGACGGGGGCCCGCACA